RNAcentral lists this ribosomal RNA (512 nucleotides) under uncultured bacterium. RNAcentral describes it as "bacterial SSU rRNA". It matches the Rfam family "Bacterial small subunit ribosomal RNA", at positions 28 to 522 of the family's 1533-position model. The record is from RNAcentral.
GAUGAACGCUGGCGGCGUGCCUAAUACAUGCAAGUCGAACGCGCAGCGAAAGGUGCUUGCACCUUUCAAGCGAGUGGCGAACGGGUGAGUAACACGUGGAUAACCUGCCUCAAGGCUGGGGAUAACAUUUGGAAACAGAUGCUAAUACCGAAUAAAACUUAGUAUCGCAUGAUACAAAGUUAAAAGGCGCUACGGCGUCACCUAGAGAUGGAUCCGCGGUGCAUUAGUUAGUUGGUGGGGUAAAGGCUUACCAAGACAAUGAUGCAUAGCCGAGUUGAGAGACUGAUCGGCCACAUUGGGACUGAGACACGGCCCAAACUCCUACGGGAGGCUGCAGUAGGGAAUCUUCCACAAUGGGCGCAAGCCUGAUGGAGCAACGCCGCGUGUGUGAUGAAGGCUUUCGGGUCGUAAAGCACUGUUGUAUGGGAAGAACGGGUUUAAGAGGAAAUGCUUAAGCAGUGACGGUACCAUACCAGAAAGGGACGGCUAAAUACGUGCCAGCCGCCGCCGUA